UGGUUACUCUUAUUUAAUACAACAGCACAGACUAAUAUACAUGAAAAAUGCAUCAAAGAAACGAAACAAUAUAUUUCUGCCUUUCUAAGGGGUAAAAACAGUCAGAACAAUCAGAGGCUUUUUUGUGAGAAUACAAAAGAACCACCAGACCACUACAUGCAAAACCCAGAAAUAAUCUUGUGUGGGUAUAAAUCAGCCCCUACCCCUCCCUGUGCUCAGCCCAUGCAUCAUACCCAGAGCUACACUCUUUUAUUCCCUUUAUGGCAUGUCUUGGAGGUCCUUGACAGGAGCUGCACUGACCUGUCAGGGUUGUGCUACCUGCACAUCUGCCACCUGUGUCAGGCUCAAUUCUUCUUUAAGUCACAGCUUUCCAAUGUCUCUCCAUCACAAGAUGCUGGCCCUCAAUUACAGGCAGUGUCUUACUGAAUUUUUUCGUGCUGUCACAUCACUCCUGCCUGUGAGAUGCAGCAUAAGCCCAGCAAUUGCCCUAGCACACAAAGGCUAAAUUUGUUAAAAACAAAACAAAACAACAACAACAAAUGUUUACAGAAGUGUUAAAGCAAAUAACUGGAAAUUCUUAAGCCUAUAUGAAGCAUUUCUCUGUGACCAUGCUGGUCACAGGUCAGGAUCUUCCUUUCUCCAUCUCUGUCCAUCACCCAAUCCAAAAGCACAGCUCAGUGAGGAGCAGCUGGUAACACCAGAGGCAACCCAAAAUUGCUGAAUCCAGCCCCUGUCACAGCUGGAAGCAGAGCCUCAGGCAAGAUGCUCCCUGCCUGGAGGAAGCUGUGCCCAAGAGGAGGAUGAAGCUCUCAGGUACCAGCAGCUUUGGCAAAGGGUAUUUAAAGACUGAGCGCUGCCCUGGCCCUCUCCAUCCUUAAGCAGCAAAGCCCUAAGAUCCUUCCAAACAAUAUUUUUCCAAAUAUUUCUUUUAAAACCACUGUAGUUUUCAUAAAACUCAUUUUACCUGUAAUUUUAUCAAAUAGUUUUGGUGAAAACUGUUCACUCCCUACUUGGUGAUAGCCACAACCAAAACUUGUUCAUAUGCCUAUAUUAAUACUGGGAAUACGCUCCAGUCUUGUUUUCUAAGCCUAAAAUUACUUGAAAUAACUUUCCAUCGAGACCUAUAAAUCUGAUCUGUGACUUACACACAAACAUUUCACCUGGUUCCACAUCAUUCAUUGGACCUGGGAGGAAAAUGGACCCUAAAUGAACAUAAACCAUAGCAUCUGAGUAUUUACCAUUGCAUCUUCUUUAACUGAGGAAAAACAGUUCCUCUGUCACAUCCUUCCUGUCCAUCACUUUUUUUUAGCUGAAAACACACAAUUAUUGGUGAUAGAAAUUCUAAGUAAAUAAAAUUAGUUCUAAUUAGUAAUCAAAGUACUUUUACUGAAUAAGUAAACUGUAAAUCUUUCCUCUGUGCCUACAGGACAUAUUCUCUCUCAUAUUGUCUGUGAUCAUAUUACCAGAGUCCUGCUACUGGGCAAACCUGGUAAAUGAAACACAGAAAUACCAGACAUUCUGCAAGGUGUGAGCCAGGCAAAUGCUGCUGGUGUUGGUUGGUGGGGUUGUACUGUUUGCAAGAAAAAGCUGCUACUAAACUGCUGCAGCCCUUUCCAGUGUUUUAAUGGUGGAAAAAAUGGUAAAGCACCUGCUAUAGGCCAUGAGAAGGAGAAGGAAUGAAACUGCUUUAGAUUUCCACUGUGGUGCACAUCCUUACAACCAAAUGUUCAUGUAUAAACCAUCAUUCAUUAGCUAUGAUAAAACAUGCACUAAAAAUAAUUUUUAAAGGAACAUUCAGCUGCUAUUUACCUAUUAUUUUUUUGCCAUUCAAUAUGGUUUGAUUUUUUUGCCCCUUUUUAAAAACAAUUCAUCCCACUCCACCUUGACAUCUUGUUUACAAUUUGUUUCUAGCCACAGAGAGCUGACAGAUGUGAUGUGAUUAGCAAGACAAGACAGCCUAAAUACAGAGCAGACAGCACAGCAGACAACACGCGAGGGGCCUGCGAGCUCCUCUGCACGCUCCAUCAUCCCCACCAGCCCUGGAAGUUUCCAUCUGACAGUGGAGAUGGGCAUUAACCCCUGCAGCUCCACACAAGGGUUGAUUUCAAAACAGGCUGCACUUAGGAGCAAACCCAGUUUCUGUUGAAUUAUAGAGAAAAAAGUGUCUUUCUGUAGCGCAGCUCUUUCAGACAGGAACAUUUCCAGCUCAGUUCCACUAUCAUUAGCAGAGUUACUAAAAUUAUUUUUGAAGAUCAGCUUGUGUGCUGUGACCUUGUCCUUGUGCCACCUCAGCAGUACUACGGGAACAAGAACAGAGCCCCACAGCUGCUCUGAGCAGUGAGGAAACCCUCCCCUCCAGUAUUCAGAGCUGUCAGACAUGGAGUCAUCUGUGUGUUUUCCAAGCAAAGGGGUCAGGACUGGGAGGGCAAAGAGAAACUGAGGAAUUGUCUAACAAACCCAAAUGAGCAUUUCUGGUGUUGGCAAAUUCAGAUACCUGGGGUCUCUCGUGCCAGGGUCUUUAUAGUACAAUGCUUUGGCUUCUCAACCUCCCCCCACCCUGCUUCGCCGCUCAAGCAUCAUCCAGAGAAGAAGCUCCUUUACAGUCAUUUGAUGGGGUCUUUCCAAAAUAUUACUCCCCGGUUUUGAAAGGCACAUGAGGCCAUCCAAUAUCCACCCCUCAGCACCACACAUCUGAGAAUGUACCAAGCAGGUUCUGCAGACAAUGGGGUCACGAUCCUUGGCAGGUGGCUUUACUUACUGCUCUGGUGAAGUGUUUUCACUGGAGGCUGUCAAAUCACACGGAUAAGGUCCAUAGUAAGAGAGCAGAAACUGGAAGCUGAACAAGGGGCUUCCCACCUCCAGCAGGAACAGCACAGUUAGGUUCAGGGGCUGAUGGUUCCCAUCACAGCAGCCAUGUACAGCAUUUUGCAGAGGCAUUAACCAACAGGGAUGAGUUCAGAGCCAGGAGGGACAGCCUGCACUAGAUAUUUGAUCACAGCAGACUUUCAUUCCCUUACUCAGUUACUUGUGGCAAUUCAAGAGCUGUUUUCAUAAAAUAACCAGUAGUCAUCAGGCUCUCCUGCACCUUCUGUGGGUGGCCAAUACAGCCACUUGACAGCAAAGUCUUUGCUGAUGACAUUAAAAACGUCACCUGACCUCCCAUCCUCCUUCAGGUAAAUCACAAGAUCUUACUUAGCUUUUGAGUAAAAACCAAAAAGUAAUAUCAAAAAACAGUUGGAGAAAACAAGUCUUUCAAGCCUUAGCUGAUAAACAGAUUUAGAAGAGUGUAAUAAAUUAUUUGUUCCCAUUUUAUGGGUGUAAGGGAAUACAGGCAUCCCAGGUGGCUUAGAAAUGAAUCAGGAAAGAGAAAGGUCUUCCUCCAGCAAAUGGAACUGGGAAAAUAAAGAUGUAUCACACCCUCUGACCAAGACCCAGCCCCUGGGCAGGCCAGGCCAAGGGUGCCCCUCCCGGACUCUGGCCCUGCUCUGCCCACAUCCCCAUCCAGAACUGGAGCACAUGGCAGUGCUGUUUCUGGGAAGCUGCGGAGCUGCCCUGCUGGACACCACCUCUGCCUGGAGGCUCAUGGCACUCCUGUCUCAGGGCAGGCUUUGCCCACCAGCUCAGCGUUCAGGGCUUCCUCCAGCAGGUCCCUCCCUCCACUCCCAGCACUGUGCCCACGAUUUAGGGCAAUACAGAGGUUUCACUUGCCUCUUUGCUUUCAUAUUUGCAUUACACACAUUGAGAUUCUUCUGCUUAAUCCUGACCCAUUUCCAGUGGCAAAGCAGUGAACACAGGGUACAAUGGUUUGAUGCUGCAAAGUCAGCUCUACGUGGGGUGUAGGAAGAAGGCUCACAGCAGAGGCUUCUGUAAAAAGAAACUCCAGUAAUUUUUAGUUUGUUUGCUAAUUGACAAGCUGAUUUUAGACUGCACGAAAGACUAAUUGCUAUUUCUUUCAGCCAGUGAACUGUUAAUGAAGCUGGAAUUUGUCCUAAAGACCAUAUGGCACAUGUCAUCUCUAUCAAGUUAUCUAAAUUCCAGAAAGUCCACAUUGAUAUGUGUAUAAAUAUGGAAGAGGAAAAUGAAAUGUGAUUCUUUAAAAAGCAUAGUUUCUGCUGUAACCCCAAGUUCCAAGUUGCAGCUGUCUAUUGAACGGCAUUGGUCUCUCAUGCCACAUGAUGGUAAGAAAAAAAAUUAAUCUUAAUUUCUAAAAGACAGCAAAAUUGAGGAGUGAGAUGAAGAAUGUGAGGCAUCUUUUAAAAUUCCCAGUCUGGUCUAAUGAAAAUGCUGGUUCACAACGAGGAUGGGUUUUCUUUGGGGAGGAAGUAAGUAUAGGGAGAGCAAACAAGGUCACAGUUUUUUUCCUAUCAGCAUCCCUAAGUAAGGACACAUGCUUGGUGACAUGAAGAGGUCUCAGUCAUGUCCCUAACUACUACAGAGGGCCCCUGGCUCUGGGCAGCUCUGGCACAGCAGGGACCAGACCCAUCAGGAGCAGGGAUGGGAUCUGAGGCUGCGCUGCCUCGGUGCAGGCAAGUACUCGUUGUUACUCCAUGGGGUAAGACAGAAAUCACAGAGCAGGGAAUAAUGCAAAGAUGUUUGGUUUUUCCUUUCCCAGCACUGUGUCACUGCAGGCCAGAUGGAAACCUCCUGGGUUAUUACACAGUAUAAAUUUGACAGGAUUGUAAAUAAUAAAAUUGUCCCAAAUGACAGAGCUGCUGACAGCAGACAUUAUCAUUCAGUUGCAACUGAUGUUUCCUUUUCUUUGUUUCUUCUUGUCACCCCCUCCUUAAAACUCCAUAAAGUAAAAAGGAGAAGCAGAAACUCUGAAAAUACCUGAAUGACGAACCAAAACCUGACAUUUCAUGUUCCCUGGGUUUGACUAAAUACAGCAAUGUUGAAAUAACUAGAUACAUAAAAUCUCUUUUAAAAAGGCUUAGGAAAUAAAACCAGAAAAGUGUAUCCUCUAAUAUUCUAUGUCAUUUUAAAACAUUAUUCAGAAUUGACAAGAUAGAAAACACUGUGACUAAUGGGAACUAGGGCAUCACUUAAGUGAUAUGAGCACUUGAGACAUCCCAUAUACACACAAAGUCAAAUAUUUAUAGUGUGGUGUAUCAACAGAAGCAAUCUCUCUGUUUUGGGGGCAGAUGUAGGGAUUUAUUUUAUUGUCUUUAUUUACAGCAACAAUCCUUUCAUUGCUAAUAUCCUCAGCUCCUGACAAAACAUGCCUAAGGGACAGCAGCUCUCUCCCCCCUUUCUGGAAACUUGGGCUGUGCUUUAACUGCAAUUAGGAAGCUGCUUUGAUUUUCCUUCCAAGUUGACUGCUCCUGACCCUGGCAGAGGUUCGUUAGUCACACAAGGUUGUUCCCCUGAAGACUGAAGAGCAUCACUCCCAAUGAGUCUGUCUGGGUAGGAAGGGAACCUCACAGACAGGGCCCAAGGAAACCUCAGCACCCACAUAAGGGCAGGGAACACUCUAUAAACAGUGCACUGUAUUGCAGGCACUGUAAAUAUUGCAAUUACGUAUCUGAAAGAGACAAAUAUUCAAAACUAAAGUUAACAAGCACAGGCCAAAACAAUCUGCAUUUAAAUAUAUUAAACACGGCAGGCCUGGUCUUCAAAGCAAUUUUUUUUCCAGAAGCGAUUAAGAAAAGAGAUGACCCCUCUUUACCCCACUUAACAAUGCAGCACCCAUCAGCAGGAAUUUUAUGACUCUGUGAUGGUAUUUAUUGACAGCUGUCAAACAUUUGGGUAAAAAUAUGGAAAGAUACACUGGCAGGCACUAAGUAAGAAACAUGGGGAGGGGACUCAGGUGAUCAGUGGUGUGUUUAUUUUGGUGCAUAAAACAUGUAAGGAAAAUUAUUUCCACAUUUCUAAGAAAAGGUUACAAGCAAUGAAAAACAAAUGGAAAAGAAACCAAGCAAUUUUUUUACAGUAACGUUGAACAAGGGAGCUAAAGGCAAAGUUGUUAAUUCAACAGAAGCCAAGUAUUUUGGAACAAUCCUGGUUAGGAGGAACACAGGUUAAAACAGACUAAUUUAUCCUUUAUUAAUGAAUACUGUUCUGUGAAACAAUGUUUAAAAUCUGAAAUGUUCCUACAGUUCUUUUUCCUGCCAUGUUGUGCAGACAGAGGAGAAUAAACAAACUUGCUCUCUACUGAGAGCUGGAAAGUGUGACCCAGCCCUGACCUUCCCUCCCACCAUCUCCAUCUGGGCCCAGAAGGAAGAGCAGAAUCAAAGGCCAACAAAAAGUAUGGUUCCCCAAGGAGCUCCUGUGCCUGCCCCUCCCAGAGCCCUCAGCAGCUCAUGUGCACAGCCAUCCUUGCAAAGGGGACCAGGACACUCCAGCUUACUAAAAUUUUCAGCCUGAGAGAUUUGCCUCGUGCACACAGAUUUCAGCUGGGUUUGAGAACAUCUUGCAAAGCAGUGAGGGGCUGGUGGGGAAUUAAAUGUCAAAGCCAUGGCCCUCAAUCCACAGCUCCACAUGGUCUUUAGCUCCACAGGUAAUUCAGGUGUAAGAACCCAAGCUCAGAUUGAUUUGGGAAUUCAAUCAACAGGCAGCAGGGAAGACAGGAGGUGCUCUUACACAAGGAAACAGAUGCCAGACAGCACUGAAUGCUGUGAUCUGAGGGAGAAUACAGCAACAGGCCAGCCAAGAAUGCAAGCAGGUACAAAUACUUGAGCUUUGACUUACUUAAGCCAACUAUAAGUUAUUUAAAAAAAAAAAAUUAAAAAUAAAAUCCCUCCCCAUUCAGUCUGUGAGAGCUGAAAAUCCAAACUAACCUCUAAACCAUGACCAAAAAAAAUCUAAAAUAAUAUGCAGUUUUGUUCCAGUCCCAAACACAUUUUCAUCUGAGAUCUUUUCACAUUGCAAAAUGAUUUCUCCUAAACACUUAGGAAACAGAACUCCAAAGAGAAAGGGUUCAAUAACCAUGCAGACAGUCUGACAGCAUGAAGCUCUAAAAGAAAGAGCCACCUGAACCUUUUGCUCCCACUGCAGACUCACAGAGGCAUUACUUAUUUCAAAAAAAAAAAAAAAAA
Molecule: long non-coding RNA, 7034 nt
Filed under: Taeniopygia guttata (zebra finch)
Lineage: Eukaryota; Metazoa; Chordata; Aves; Passeriformes; Estrildidae
Description: lncRNA (ENSTGUG00000021397.1)
Source: RNAcentral